GGGAAUUUAAUUAUUAUUAGGUAGUAUUAUUUCCUAGUUUAUCUUAUUACUAAUUAGAAUUGAAUUAGGUUCUAAAAUUCUAAUGUGAUUGAGAUUUUUAAUUUUAUAAAUAAAACCUUGACUUUUUAUUGUUAUUAGAUUAGAUUAGCUAUGAUAAUUUUAUGAAAUCAAUAAUAUUUUAAGAAUUAGUUUUCUUUCCAAGAAUUAGUCCUUAAUUUGUUCUUUAUUCCUUUUUGUUCUACAUCAUUAGCGAAAAUUUGAUCCUUUGACCCUUCUGCUGUGCCUUCUAAAAUCCCACCCUUCC
RNAcentral lists this unclassified non-coding RNA (304 nucleotides) under Hevea brasiliensis (rubber tree). The record is from RNAcentral. Lineage: Eukaryota; Viridiplantae; Streptophyta; Magnoliopsida; Malpighiales; Euphorbiaceae.